UACAGGGGGUGCAAACGUUGCUCGGAAUUAUUGGGCGUAAAGCGCGCGUAGGCGGCUUUGUAAGUUAGAGGUGAAAGCCCGGGGCUCAACUCCAGAACUGCCUUUGAUACUGGCGAUCUCGAGUCCGGGAGAGGUGAGUGGAACUGCGAGUGUAGAGGUGAAAUUCGUAGAUAUUCGCAAGAACACCAGUGGCGAAGGCGGCUCACUGGCCCGGUACUGACGCUGAGGUGCGAAAGCGUGGGGAGCAAACAGG
Molecule: ribosomal RNA, 253 nt
Filed under: uncultured bacterium
Lineage: Bacteria
Description: partial 16S ribosomal RNA
Rfam family: Bacterial small subunit ribosomal RNA
Source: RNAcentral